UACGUAGGGUGCAAGCGUUAUUCGGAAUUACUGGGCGUAAAGCGUGCGCAGGCGGUUGUGCAAGACAGAUGUGAAAUCCCCGGGCUUAACCUGGGAAUUGCAUUUGUGACUGCACGGCUAGAAUCUGGCAGAGGGGGGUAGAAUUCCACGUGUAGCAGUGAAAUGCGUAGAGAUGUGGAGGAAUACCGAUGGCGAAGGCAGCCCCCUGGGCUAAGAUUGACGCUCAUGCACGAAAGCGUGGGGAGCAAACAGG
Molecule: ribosomal RNA, 253 nt
Filed under: uncultured bacterium
Lineage: Bacteria
Description: partial 16S ribosomal RNA
Rfam family: Bacterial small subunit ribosomal RNA
Source: RNAcentral